RNAcentral lists this small nuclear RNA (131 nucleotides) under Dasypus novemcinctus (nine-banded armadillo). RNAcentral's name for it is "U4 spliceosomal RNA (ENSDNOG00000047251.1)". It matches the Rfam family "U4 spliceosomal RNA". Rfam says of the family: U4 small nuclear RNA (U4 snRNA) is a component of the major U2-dependent spliceosome. The record is from RNAcentral. Lineage: Eukaryota; Metazoa; Chordata; Mammalia; Cingulata; Dasypodidae.
AGCUUUGCACAGUGGCAGUAUUGUAGCAGUGAGUUAUCCGAGCGCAUUAUUGCUAUUUGAAACUUUCCAGUACCCACCAUGACGACUUGAAAUAAAGUCAUCACUGGCAAUUUUGACAGUCCUCUUAUGGG